AUCAACGACUGUGCCACAUUGAAUACACCAGUUCUCGUCGCAUCACUGAAGUUGAGAGACGUUGGGUGUGGUCAGAACUUGGAUGGAUGACCUGGGAGAUCACAUGUUGUUGGUU
Molecule: ribosomal RNA, 115 nt
Filed under: Olea europaea subsp. europaea
Lineage: Eukaryota; Viridiplantae; Streptophyta; Magnoliopsida; Lamiales; Oleaceae
Source: RNAcentral